Molecule: transfer RNA, 73 nt
Filed under: Enhygromyxa salina
Lineage: Bacteria; Pseudomonadati; Myxococcota; Nannocystales; Nannocystaceae
Rfam family: tRNA
About the family: Transfer RNA (tRNA) molecules are approximately 80 nucleotides in length. Their secondary structure includes four short double-helical elements and three loops (D, anti-codon, and T loops).
Source: Rfam by way of RNAcentral
GGGCGGGUAGCUCAGUUGGUAGAGCACCGUGCUUACACCGCGGUGGUCGCAGGUUCGAGUCCUGUCCCGCCCA